CCUACGGGAGGCAGCAGUGAGGAAUAUUGGUCAAUGGACGAGAGUCUGAACCAGCCAAGUAGCGUGAAGGAUGACUGCCCUAUGGGUUGUAAACCUCUUUUAUAAGGGAAUAAAACGAGGCACGUGUGCCUUUUUGCAUGUACUUUAUGAAUAAGGAUCGGCUAACUCCGGGCCCGCAGCCGCGGUAAUACGGAGGAUCCGGCGGUUAUCCGGGUUUAUUGGGUUUAAAGGGAGCGUAGAUGGGUUGUUAAGUCAGUGGUGAAAGUGUGGGGCUCAACCGUAAAAUUGCAAUUGAAACUGGCAGUCUUGAGUACAGUUGAGGUAAGCGGAAUGCGUGGUGUAGCGGUGAAAUGCUUAGAUAUCACGCAGAACCCCGAUUGCGAAGGCAGCUUACUAGCCUGUGACUGACAUUGAUGCACGAAAGUGUGGGUAUCGAACAGGAUUAGAUACCCCGGUAGUC
Molecule: ribosomal RNA, 460 nt
Filed under: uncultured bacterium
Lineage: Bacteria
Description: partial 16S ribosomal RNA
Rfam family: Bacterial small subunit ribosomal RNA
Source: RNAcentral